GGUUCCCUCAGCCUGGUUGGCAAUCAGGUGUUGAGUGUAAGUGCACAAGGGAGCUUGACUGUGAGACCGACGGGUCGAGCAGGGACGAAAGUCGGGACUAGUGAUCCGGCGGUGGCUUGUGGAAGCGCCGUCGCUCAACGGAUAAAAGGUACCCCGGGGAUAACAGGCUGAUCUUCCCCAAGAGUCCAUAUCGACGGGAUGGUUUGGCACCUCGAUGUCGGCUCGUCGCAUCCUGGGGCUGGAGUCGGUCCCAAGGGUUGGGCUGUUCGCCCAUUAAAGCGGUACGCGAGCUGGGUUUAGAACGUCGUGAGACAGUUCGGUCCCUAUCCGCUGUGCGCGUAGGAGUCUUGAGAAGGGCUGUCCCUAGUACGAGAGGACCGGGACGGACGAACCUCUGGUGUGCCAGUUGUUCUGCCAAGGGCAUGGCUGGUUGGCUACGUUCGGGAGGGAUAACCGCUGAAAGCAUCUAAGCGGGAAGCCUGCUUCGAGAUGAGGACUCCCACCCACUUGAUGGGGUAAGGCUCCCAGUAGACGACUGGGUUGAUAGGCCGGAUCUGGAAGCACGGUAACGUGUGGAGGUGACCGGUACUAAUAGGCCGAGGGCUUGUCCUCAGUUG
This 617-nucleotide ribosomal RNA is filed under the name Streptomyces sp. SID9944. Its description in RNAcentral is "partial 23S ribosomal RNA". It matches the Rfam family "Bacterial large subunit ribosomal RNA", at positions 2315 to 2925 of the family's 2925-position model. The record is from RNAcentral. Lineage: Bacteria; Bacillati; Actinomycetota; Actinomycetes; Kitasatosporales; Streptomycetaceae.